CGAUCUCUUCGUUGAAGUAAUGAAAUGACAAUAAAACGGUUCAAAAAGCGAGGGAAAGUUUUUCACUAAACCCUCAUUUCUUGAUUUCUUCAAUCAAGACCACAAGAAAUGAGGGUUUCAUUAGUUACUUCCACCUGUGAACAGUUUCCUCUGGUGACUUUCCUUCUUGGGUUUCUAUCUGUUUGCCGGUUCCAUUAGUUACUUCAAUACACUCAGCUGCCUCCCCAGUGGUUCGCUCAUCCCACAUAAUAGUCACUAGCUAUGGAGGUGGUCAGUUGCAAGGUGAACGGUCAGUUAUGAAUUUUGUUUGAUUCGGGUGGUUUUUCGUUGAAGAUGUGGAAGUCAACAAGAUUCUUUCAUUAGCCGAGUCUCACCUUCACUGGUUCGUGGAUCGAAUAUCAGAAUUACUUUAGGGGCCAAGUAAUCGUUUUUCGUCAGGAAUGGUCGUGAGAAAGCUAGGGUGAUAAGGCACUGUUGAGUCAAAUUUUCACCUCAUUUAUUCCUACCAGUUUAGUGGAAACUUUACUGAACAGUGCCCACUCCUCUGAAGUGAAAAAGCUUAUCAAUCAAUUCGAUGAAAAGUCUUGUAUCCUUUUAGGAAAAACAGUCCCCACACCUCUGUAUAUGGAUCGUAAUCACUAAAGAUUUUAUUCCAAUCAUUUCGGAAUUCAUAUGCUAUAGACACAUGUACAAGGAUUAUCUAAGGUAAGUAGGGGAAGCUAAUGAAGGGCAUAGUGUAUAAGAUAUUAACAAUAAUACAUAUUGUUAAAUCACCCCUGAAUUUCUGGUAAAUUUACCUUUUAGUCAUGCUACACCACUCUUCGCUUUUGGGCUUGAAAUUGACAUGAGGCGAAGAGGGUCAGAACGUGGUUAUGAAUAUUAAUUGGCGGGAGAUGACCUUCAAGAUAGUUGUCUGAAUAUAUGGACUCUUGUGCCAUUUUAAAUCAUUAACCAAUCUAAAUAAAGUUAAGCUGAUGGGUGACACUAAACAUAAUUUUAUUCAUAGUUCAACACAAAAUACCAAUACAAAUACUAUUAUGCCCUCCUCAGGUCAGUAUUGAAAACGAAGUUACGGAGCACCAUGAGUUACUCCCUACAGUGAUGUGUUUAUUUUUUAUAGUUUAUGAAUACUCACUAAGAAGUGUUCAUUUAUGUGUGUCUUCCUUGUAUGCUGAUGCUUCUUUUUGUGUUUUUCCUUGUAUUCUGAUGUGUACUCAUCUUCCUUUUUAGGUUUGUAAACAUCGAAAGCCAAGGAAACUAACUCAAUACUGGCUUGGAUAUUCUUGUGGUGCAAUUGGUCUUUCAAUCUGUUCUGCUUGGCUUGUUCAACAUAGUAGUUUAAUGGGGAGCAAUGACAUUGAUAAUUGGGUUCGCGAAGCACAUAAUUCAGCAGCUAGUUUUUUCAAGGAUCAUGUAGAACAACCGGUACUAUUUUUACUAUUUGAAUUUGGUUUCCUUUGUCAUGAUUGGAAAUUUGGAGCACCUUUGUUUAUUUUCUUUACCACUGUAUUUUACUUUUCUUGGGUUUGGUCUUCAGUAUGGUUGAUUAUUAGGCUUAAAUAACUUUAAAGUCUCUCUUCAUGUCAUAAUGAAUACUUUUUAAUUUAUCAACUGUGAGAAGACGUGCUUUGUUUCCCAAUAUGAGUGUUUUGAGUGUUUGUUGGCCAAGGAGGUGAUCAAGGGUAUUCUCUUCCUACUGAAUUUUCUAUGCACAAUGACCUUUCUUGUCGUAUGUAUCCAUUAUAAAGGAUCUAUGGGUAUGCUUAGAGAACUUUUGGGCAUGCUAAUAAUUAUUACUGGUUUCUUGGAGGGGUCAAGGGUCUUUAAUGUUGCUUUGUUAAAGUAUCUUUUUUAAUGAGACUUGUGAAUAAUUUCAUUGAUGGGAUGAAAUUACAAAAUACUAUUUCAUUGUGAAAUAAGAGAAGUAAGGUUGUAAUCACAUAAGUGUGGGGUGAAUUUACACCAAGGUUGUAUACAAAAGAUGAUUGAAAAAGUGAGUGAAGUCGAAUUCCUUAUCUUUGAAAGUACGAUGGCUGCAUUCGUUCCAGAUGAGCCAAAAGAAGGCUUUUACAAUGAAGCACCAGAAGGCCUCUUUUUUGUUUUUGAAUGGAUGACCAAUCAGUAGCAGAUAUAAUUAAAAAAUUUCAUAAUCCAAUUUAAUAUAUUAUUAGAGUAGGAGAUCUUGUGUUCGAACUCUUUUAAUGUCAUUUCUUUCGAAUUAAUGCGAUUUUCACUUGUUUGACCUUACAAAUUUUCAAGUUCACAGGUGAAGGAGAUCGUUAAAAUAUUGAUAUAAUUACAAUUUAUCAUAAGCCAUCAGCUUGAGCUCUUGGAUUGAUGGAUGAAACAUGCCGGUUGAGUUGAGAAGUUUGAUGAUGGUUGAAGAACUAGAAAUAUUGAAUUCUUGGGCGAUUUCUUGAUGCUUGUGGUUGUCUUUGGCUUGGUUGGUUUCUGUUUGAUAAAUGGUUGUCUUGUGCAUUGGAUCUUAGGGAUUGUAGAAUUAGUUUGAGGAUUGUUUCCCUAGAGCUUCUCCAUAGACUAGGUUCACAAGGCUUGCCGCUUGUUAGUAUUGAAUCCUUCCAAGAAGUGAUAUGUUGAGUGUUAUAAGAUUAAAUUUACCUUCACUUAUUAGCUUAAGCUUUUGGGUCAAUCAAUAAUUUAAGAUAUUAUCAGAGAGAUGUGGUCCAGGAUGUCAUGUGUUCAAGUCCAAACGUUGUUUCCUCCCCAAUUAAAAUUGAGUUUCAUUGUUGGAUCUUUCACAUAUUUCAAGCCCACAAGUGAGGAGGGGUGUUGAAUGAUAUAAUAUUUAAUUUACUUUCACCUAUCAACUUAAGUUUUUGGGUCAAUCGGUGAUUUAAGAUGAAUCCUUAAAAUGGUUAUCAAAAUAGGCUUGAUGUCCAUGCUAGGGUGCAUACAUGAAAUCUACAUUAUUGUAACUUAAUCGUGAUUGAUUUCUAACAACUGAAGUGACAAUUAAAAAACUCCUGGAAUUGAUAUUCCAACUCCCUAUUUUGCAGCUUAUUUCAAUUAGAGAUGAACUUUUUGAUACAUUUAGAAAGAGGCAUAAAGGUGUGAUGGAGGUUCAAGAGGUUCAGUUAACUGCUAUCUCGCUGCACAGGUGAUUGUCGUUCACUGGCUUAAUGUUUCUCCAACUCUGAGCUCCAAUUUAUUGUUGGAAAUGAGAAAUGUCAGUCUUGCACAACUUAUUUCAUCUCCAAUCAUAAAAUCAAGAACUUUUUGAAAAACUGUUUUAAUGAAAAGCUUCGUAUCCUACGUUGGUGAUAGAAAUAAGUUGUGCAGCGAGAUUUUUGAAGGAAGAUUCUGCAUUGUGGUGACAAGUAAUUAAAAGCAUUCAUGGCUGCCAAAAAUUUGAGUGGCAGACCUAAAUAAAUCAGGAAACAGCUUAAGAAGUCUGUGGAUCAGUAUAUCUAGAGAAUGGAAUAAGGUGGAAAUGUUGGCCCCUUUCAAGAUUGGUAAUGGCAGAAGGGUGGGUUUCUGGAAUAAGGUCACCACAACGCAGAAUCUUCUGUCAUAACAAACACACCCUCAGUCACCAACCCAUUUGGGUUGAGUUUGAUCCAUGUCAAUAUGGUGGAGGUUAAUGACAUUUAGUUAACUUUUAUUCUUUCCAUAUGAUAUUUUCUUCUCACAUUGACUUUUUCUUUCGACUAAUAGUUGAUAAAGUUACGAAUUUGUCUUGAAAAAUUGUUAAUUUAGCAGCUGUAGGUGAUCGUUUCCCUAAAUUUUUCAAAGAAUUGUGAUUCAGUAUAAAUAUUUCUGCGGAUAUUGAAACUGCAAUUCAUAAGCCUAUAAUCUUGGACGAAAGAAUAAUUUUACUUGUUCUAUGAAAUGGUAAUUUGGAACACAUUAAACAAAACUAAUAUUUAAUCAUAAUCUUAAUAAAAUAGUUAUCAGAAACAUGUUUCACUAGCAUGUUUUGUGGAAAACAAAACUAUUUUUUAAACAAUUCUCAUACAAGCCCUAGAUUUACGGCAACAUCCACACACACAUAUUUAUGAAGAAAAAAAAAUUUAAGAAUCGUUCUCUUCUUUCCAGAAUGUUACUUGCUUUCAGUGAGCACACAAAAGGCCAGAAGUUUCCAGACGAUGCAUCGGAUCAAGAAAUGCUUGCAAUAGUUAUGACCAGGUUAUCCUCCAUAUUUUGUUUGUUGUUUUAUCUGCCAUUGCAAGGUGCAUGGAUUUGUUCUUGAAAACUGAGUAGGGCUGGCAUUUCUUAUAAUCAGUGUUAUUGGAUCUUCUUUGGACCAUAUUUCUCUUGAUUCCGUAAUCAAUGGAUUGGCAAUUGAACACUGAUCUCACAAAUAAUUGGUCUAAACAUCGAAUAUUGUGUCAUUCUUCAUAUUAUGUCCCAAAUUCAACUUUCUCCUCUUGGUUUUCUAGCGAGUUCUUCAAUCACAUUGGGACACUGCUGUUUGCUCUAUUGAAGUUUACAUCAACAGCUUGGGUAAUAUUUAUCAACACGCAUGUUUCCUCUUACUUCAUUGCUCUCUUAUGUGGGGGGUUCAAAUGUUGUUUGACAGUAGACACCUUUUUUUUCCCACUUUUUCUCUCUGCAAAUUUCGUGGAAGAUAGUUAAGUUCUUUGGGAGUUAGAUUGGUUAUUCCUACUUUGGUAAACGAAAAGACAGCUUGUUUUGUGGAAUCUGUAUACAUAGAACGGCAAGUCCUUUGGCAAUACAAUUAGAAGUGUCAUUUGAAUGCUUUGCUAGAAAAACACAAAUAUUUUCAGAAAUUCUACAAAGAAACCUUUUUAUGUGUGUGUGCGUGUUUUGUCGCUAACAGAGAGCUUUCACUUAAAUUUCACAACUAUUCUUAUAUUAAUGCGAUAUUUAAAAUCAUGCUUCCUCUGAGAAAACAUUGUAAUAAUCUAAUGUCAAUGUUCAUCUAAAUGAAUAAUUUUUUUCAGUGAUGGAUAUCAAUUGUUUUUCCUAUAUAGGUAUGAAAAAGAACUGAUGCAUCCCAUUCAAAAUCUUCUUAGCGGAGAGCUGGCCCGUGCUUUGCUUAUCCAGGUUGUUACACGCUCAUUUAUUAUCUCUAUAUGUACGGAUACACUAUACUUGAUAGUAUUCUGUUUGUGUUGUUGCAGGUGCAGAAGCUAAAAUUAGAUAUUGAGACGUAAGUUAAAAAACUUGCAACUUUUGGCACUCAAUACAUUAUAAAUCAUCAUCUUCCAUUUGUGGUUCAUAUUAUGAUGGCUUUUAAACAGGGCAAUGCUUGAGCUUGACCAGAUUCUCAAGGCAAAUGAAAUCAACUUUGCUGUUCUAGCUGCAUUGCCUGCAUUCUUUCUCUCACUUCUUUUCCUGAUGCUUUUGCGUACGUGGUAUAAACAGGUAUGUGAACUAAAAGCAAGUUUAGUUUAUAUCUUUUAAAGUUAAAUUAAAGUUUGAUGUUGUGCAUUCCGGAAAGACGUCGUAGUAUGACAGUCACACUAGAGUGCUGAUACCUUCAUCUGUUACAUAGUCGUUAAGUUGAGUGGGUAGUGGGGCUAUCAACUUACUUAGAUUACUCUUAAACUUGGUCAAGUAUCCAAACCCCCAAGCCCACAAUACAUUUAAACAUUCUUUUAUGGUGUGUAGAUUUUUUAUAUUUUCCAAAUUGCCUUAAAUCAUCUGAGCUUUAAUAAUUCUUUGAUCCAAAAGAAACCAGACAAAGUUAAAUUUUACAAUUCAUCUACCCGAAGAAUCCAAAAGCUAAAAUUGAGCAUCCUUUAGUUGAAAUUUAUCUUCUAUUGAAAUUAAUACAAAUACUUAUUUAGUUUUGUCGAGGUGCGCAUAAGCUAGCUUAGACACUCAUGGAUAUUAAAGAAAAAUACAAAUACAUAUUUAUUUAGACCCCGUUUCAUAAUAAUUUCAAUUUUAGUUUUCUGUUUUUGAAAACUGUGCUAGUUUUCUCUAUCCUCUUACUAUAUUUUCCCCUCUUUUUAUGAAACAUCUAAUAUCUAGGCCAAAUUUCAAAAGCAAAAACAAGAUUAUAAAAACUAUAUCUAUAUUUGUACACAAUUUUUAAAAUUGGGAUGAAUUUUGAAAUCUUAUUAGAAAGUAGAUGACAAAACCAAGAAACUUAAGGGUGUUACGAGGAGUAUCAUGACCUAAUUUUCAAAAGAGCUAUCUUCAAAUAUAGCAAAAUGAACCAAAAUAUUUACAAAAUAUAAUAGAAUAUCAUAGUCUAUCUGCAAUGGACUGCUAUGGACCAACUAGUAGAUAAACUCCUAUUUGAUAGACACAUAUGGUAAUCUAUCGUGAUCACAUAUAAAUUGUGAUAUUUUGCUAUAUUUGUAAGUAUAUUUAGAAGUUUUGCCAUUUAAAAUAAUUUCUUUAAAAAACUAAAUACAAAGUAAUGUUACUUAUACGUGGAUAAGAAACAUUUGAUUGAUGAAUGAAAUAUCCAAAAAUUACAAUAUGGAGGGUACGCCAAAUAUCAAAAGAUGCCCAAAACACAGGAAAAGAUACAACCGAUAAAGAUAAUAAGCAAAUGCGAUGAACUAAAGAUUUACAACCAAAUUGAAGAUAGAAAACAAAACUACAGGGGACCUGAUGUAAUACUACAAGGAAGCACAUGUUGGAAUACGACACAUGAUAGAAAGCCCAAAAAAUCAGGUCCCAAACGACCAAGUUCAAGAAACAAACAAGGAGGAAGUCAAUAGCACACUCAUGUUGAAGAUGACCCUUCUCCAAUCGAAUCUUUAGACCUUGCCUUAAUUUUACUAAAUGAAGCCUUAAUUUUGUAACUUCAUUUUGAUUAAUUUUGGGUUGUUUCACAUGUGUUUUUAGUUUUUUCUUUGUCUAAUAUCACUCUAUGUUAGUUUAUUUGCAUAAAAGGAGACAAAGUCAGUUUAUUUGCUCAUUAUGACAUUUAGGAUACUAGAGCUGAAGGGAAGGGGAGAGCUGCUCGGCUUCAGAGAAGACUACUAGUUGUGGAGGUGGAGAAAGCAAUAAUGCAAUACCAGAGUUUUGUUGAUCAAGGACGUGUAAGGCAUUCAUUCUACUUGUUGGCUUCUCAACAUGUUUCUUCUCUGUUUGUUGACAUUUUGUUGCUAUAAAAGAAUUUUUUUUAGUUUGCAGAUCAGCAUGUGAAUGUAAACGUUAUGGAAUAAUUAAACCUAGUACGUUAAGCCACAAGUUUUUACUCUUUAUUUGCUAUAGAAAUUAGACAAUACACUAGUUAGGAAAGAGAAUAUCAAAGAAGAGGAGAGCGGACCAGUAAUCUAAAUCAACCUUCAAAAUUUUAAGGGGAUUAAAUUAAAACUUCCAAUUGGUUCUAAUCAAACAAAGGUAGAGAAAAAAUGUAUUAAUUCGCAGUCUAGGACUCUAGAGAGGUGCCAACGCAUGCUCAGUAGAAAUCUUUUCUAUCUGAAAAAAAUUCCCUCUUUCUUACUAUCCAAAAUUUCUACAAAAUGUCAAAAGUCAAAACAUAGCACUUGUCUAGAUGAUUUAGCUUUGCAUUUAGGGUUGGGUAAAUCUCCCACAAAAUGUAAAACAUUGAACUUGUUCUAGUGACCCUGGCUUUCUUCUUUAGAGUAGGAUUAUUGAUAUGGAGGAGGUGCUCCUCCAUCCCCACCUUCCACAACAAGGGGCAAGCCGUGUGGCAUUUGCUUUCUUUUACUUUUAUGGUUGAAGAGAAACAGGAAAAAAAAUUAAGAGCUUGAGAAAACUUGGGAGGAGUUGUGGUCGAUGUUGGGUUUAGCAUCUCUCUUUGGCCAUUAAUGACUAAGACUUUUUGUAACUAUUCUCUUGAUUUGGUUCUUUUAAGUUCACUUUUUUUUUUUUUGUUAUUAUUAAAAUUAAAUUUACUAUAAUCUACCAAUUUAAGCUUUUAGAUUGAUUAGUGACUUAAUAUGAUAUUAGAACUUUUAGAUUUUCACUUCCUCUAAAAUUUUUUUAAACAAGCACAGAACUUUUUAUUGAUAAAAUGAAAAGGGACUAAUCUUCAAAAGAUGGAGAUUCCACACGGGAGUGAAGAAGAAAAGUGAUAAAAGAGGAAAAAUAACGAUUCACAGUUACAAUGAAAGAUACAAGGCGUUCCAAAUAUUACAUAUAACCUUUGAAGAGAAGCCAACAAACGUAACGACCUAGCUUUUCUAAACUAAGUUGUGGUCGUUUUCAAAAGUAAAAACAAUGUCAAAUCCUCAAAAACGAUGUUUGUAAAACAGAAGUAACCAAAAAACCAUUAAAAGAAAUUAGUUGUUCAGGCCCUAAGUAAAACAAUAAAAACAAUAUGUUCAUAAUAAAACCAUCUCAGACAUGGUAUAGAAAACAUAAGAAAAUCAUGAAAGAUAGCGGAAGCAAUAUCGUAGCGGUCCUCAUUUGGCCAGUCAUGGGUAUAUAAAAUAGGGAUUUGUCUAUCCUAAAAAGGCAAACACAACAUACAGAAGAAUAAGUUGUUUUUCUUCACGUUGCUUUAUUGGCAUUUAGUAUCCUGAGAGAAGAAUGAAAAUGUUCCCAUUUUUCUGAUUUGCAGGUAAAAGAUGCUGAAUGUAGAUUUGGGUUACUGUUGUAUAGUUUGGGUCGGUUGUACCAUGCUUCCGAGAAGCAUGCCAAAGCAACUGGUGAAUGGCUACAGUAAGUCUUAGUUCGGCUUUUCUUCUCUCUUUCUAGGGAAUACUUCCGAUCAGCAUGUGUUCCAGAAUAAUAAAGAUGCAGUAACAUGUCCUGCAUUAUUUAGAGAAUAAUCGUUUGAAAAUUGACGUGAAAACAUGCGUGAGGAAUAGCAUUUUCAUAUAUAUUUACUUUUUUCACUCAUCUUAAACAGGAAUUUAUUUAAAGAGAAAUUUUCUGAGUAAGGAGAGGCUAAAACAAUCCUAACAUGUCCUUCAAAACACCAUCUACAUUUUUUAAACAAGAAAUUAGAUUUUUUAUUAAUUAAAUGAAAAGAUACUAAUACUGAAAUAUAUACAUACUAUAGGGGAGGGAAAAAGGAACAGAAACGAGAAAUAAAAAAGAAAAGUGCCUAAAACCGACAAAAAGAACCGAAAGAUUUGCAAAUAGCUUAAGGUUUCAACCAAACUUGAAACUUCAAAAAAACCUCAAAGAACCAAAUACAUCAUAACAUCCCAUCCUUCGAAUUGAAAAUUAAAGGGAUGUUAGUGCUUAUUUGCAUAAAUCCUCAUCUACAAAUGCACCAAUUGACCCAAAAGUUUAAGCUAGUGAGCGAAAAUAAAUUUAAAAUUAUAUCAUUCUAACAACCUUGUUGUGCUCUAUCUUCAAAUUAAUGAGGGAUAGACUUUGACAUAUAGGAACUUGCAAUGAAUGUCAGCCAAUAUGACAUGUCAGGAGGCACUUUUUUUGUCUUUAGGCAAGUUCUAGAAGAAAAGUGGCAUAUCCCAUCUCUCCCUCCUCCCCAGCCGAAAUUACCUUCUCACCUCCUUUCGUAACCAUGGAUGUUGGUCAAAACUCUCAUAAUGGUUGCUUCCCUCAUAGCAGUUAAACGUGCUGAAGAACAGAAGGUUUUUGUUUUAGAUUUUGAUAGUAGGAAGGGUAGCAGUGAGAUUUUUUUUUUCUUUUAUACUUAUCGAUAUCAUCUCCUUGGGACCACUCUAGGAACAGAUCUUGGGAUAUGACAAAACUGUGAGAAAUCACUUUUGUACUAUGGAUCAUUCCCAUGAGCCAUUAUUGGAGUUCAGAACUUAGUAUCUUUGGAACCUUUAGCCACAAUGAGAUUAGAAAAGAUAGGAGUAGAGAUUAAAUGAAGGGAAAUAGUUUUACUUGAGAAGAACUUCACAGGGCGACUUUUAAUAUGCUUAACUAAAGAAAGGUAUCAAAGUAAAUUUACUCAAGAUAAGUUAAGAGGAGGAGCAAUUUGAUGAAAUUUUACAAAACAUCAAACAAUUUUGGGUUGAAUAAUAAGUCGGACACAUAAUGAGAUUAAGAGAAUACGUGAAGUAGGAAACAAAUAUCUUCUUUGAAACCUGUUUCUGCAGUUUGUUGCUUGGCUCUCCCUCUUUUUGUGAAUUUUUUUUAUGUCCUUUAUUCUUUCAUUUUUUUUUCAAUGAAAACUUAGUUUAUCAUUAAGAAAAAAAAGAAGCAAAUAUCCUCUUUAAAACAAGGAAUCCUUUGACCAUCGUCUAUCAUUAUCAUCUCCUUGUUGCACUCGUUCUUUAUCAGCCCCCUUUUCGUGUUCUUUUUCUUUUUGUGGUUUAUUGAAUUUUAAUUCUCAAAAUCCUGGUCUUGAUCUUACGUAAAAGCUAUUGCUUUUUUAGAUAAAUCACAUCUUAAGAUUGUAUUCACUCUGCUCUUCGCUUGAGUUUUUAAUGGGAAAUGGACAGAGCAAGCGGUUUGUUGUUGUGCACACUAAAUUGAGCACUUAAUAGUUACUUGUAAUGUAAAAAUAUUAAAUUUGGUUAUUGUGCUUUUCCAUAAUGUAGUACAUCUACAGUAAGCUGAUAUCUAACUUGAUAAACAGUUUGAGGCAGGAUAUUUUGGACCUGGGAAAGCCCAGUCUUCCAACAAGAGAUAAGCUCAGAAUUACGUGGCGCAUGGAACGGGUAUACGAUUGUUUACUUCCUGCAUUGAAACGUUCAUAACGAUCAACUUUUUCUUCUAUUCAACUCUCCAGAACAUUUAUUAUUAUUAUUAUUUACUGAAUGGAAGUAUUUUGCUCCCACUUCCAAGCCUAAUGCUUUUUUCAACCUGCAUUUCGGCCUCAGUUAAACCACCUAGUUUUUGUUGUUGAGAAAGAAAGAUGCACAAUGAUGUCUGGCGUUUUGCUUUUUAUUGUCCUGAUAACUUUUGUCUUCAUGUCAGUUUUGAACUCUGUAAGAAUACUCUUUAGUAAUGAAAGAACUGUUUAAAUUCAAGUUCAUCGAUGGAUUCAUGAGUGUAUCUAGCAACCUUAGUCAUAUUAGAGAAAAUAAUUGUUUUUAGGAAAAAAGAAGUGUAGUUUCGUUUUUAUACUUGGUUUUGUGAAAGAUAAUAAUCUUAGGAACUUACCACCAAUAGCAAAGUAAUCUUGAAGCCCUCUUGGAGCCCUCCUUUUGCUUUGUUGUAGUUUGUUGGUGUGUUCGGAACACAUUUUGAACCGUUUAAUCUAAAAUGUAAAAUUAUUUUUGAAACAAUUGGCAUGCUUAACAACUACUUAAUAUAAGUUUUCUCAUAAGAAUUUAAAUAAAAAUGAGUUUUUUGUAUCCUUAAUCUAUUAAUUAAGCUACUCAGCCCAGCAUAAUAGUUAUGUUUUUCAUAUUACUGGCACUUAAAUUGGAUGUCUUGUUAGUUUUAGGUAAGAUAAAUCUAGUUAACUAUAACUUAUUGCCAUUUUAGAGUUGAUUUUGUGUAAUUGGAUCACUCUAUUCUAUUAUAUGUUCAACAAAUUAUAAAACAUACUUUUGUUUUUUUAAAACAAAUUGUGAGCUUUAGUUGAUUUUGUUCGUGAAUCAAAUGGUUAACGUGAGUUCAGCUCAACUGACAUUAUGUUCUUGAGGACAAUAUGUCACGGGUUCAAAUCUUCCACUUCAAGUUGUACCUAAUAAUACAUUUUAAAAAACUUAAUCUUGAUCAAAACAAAAUUUUCAAUUUUUGGAGAAAACUGAAAUCAAAUCGAUUAAACAACGAGUGAAACUAAGCAAUCGAAACUGAAUCAAAAUCAUAGAUAAAUUACGUCAUCCAAUCCCACAACAAGUUUAAAUGGUUUAAUUCUCAAUUUACGAAGUAAUAGACCACAUGUGAAAUUUUAUGGGUUAGGAUAAACUUUCUAUAAAAAAAUUCAUGUCUCAAUUGUGCCUACUCACCAUCUUGACAACAUAACACUUUAAUAUUAAAUUUUAUCACUAAUAAUAUAUAUUUAGUGGACGACUCGGUUUUUUAAUAUGUUUUUUUGACCUAACUUGAACCUGACCAAGUAGCUCGUUUUAUAUAUUAUCAAUUUGAACCAAAAAACAAUCAAGUUUUAACUCGAAUGGAUCAACAAUUUGGGUCGGCUUAGAUCAUUUUUACUUGCACUCAUGACAUGAAGAAUGCACGUGAUGCUAUUUUUGUACAUACCCGUCUCAAAAGGAGGUUCCAUAACUUGGUUGGGCUACCAUAACAUUUCGCUCUUGGGAAAAUUGUUAUAAAUCAUUAAUUUGAGGUGAAUCACACACUUAAUCCUAUAAUUAAAAUACAAUUCAAAUUCAGUCUACACUAUUAUUAUUAUUAUUUUUUGUAUACAACAAGAUAAGAAAAGAAGCUAUAGAACACCACAAGAUAUAAGUAAUGAAAAUCAUCGGGAAAAGGAAAAAGUAGAAUAUAAAAAAAAUCUCUCAGUUAAGGUCCUUAUUGCAAAGUUUCUUGAAUGAAAAUCGGAUACUUUAGUUAGAUUAGAUCUAAAUCGAUUAUAAUUUAUCGGGUUGGCUACCUCCAAACAAUUAAAUUCCACUUAUAUCAGAAUCAACAUUUCUAAUUAGAGAUGCAUUAUCCGCCAACUAGACAAACUCAUCAAUAAUCACCAACUAUAUAAUUUUUUUCAUUUUACAAUCAUUUAAAAUUUAUUAAUAGACAAAAAAAAAAAAAAUGGAAAGUGAGUACUUCAUUAACAAUAGUAAACAUGUGAAUCUUGAAACUAUUAAAAGAGUGACAAUAUAACAUCAUAGAACUAAGACCUAAAAUUGAAGAACUAAAAAUGAAAUUUUCUCAUAAUUUUAGCACUGACUAGACCGAUGAUCGUCGAGUUAUUUUUCAAAAGAAUUGUUACAAAGAUGGUGGCUCGGUGAGUGGUGGGGUCUUAGUUUUCCAAAUGUAUUUAUUUAUUUAAGACAAAAAGGAGUGCACAUGGAGGAAGCAGGAAAUUUUUUGGGAUCUUCGCCGGAGAAAGCUUGUCGGAGAAAUAAGAACCAUCGGAGCAACGGUGGAUAUUUGAAGCUGAUGAUGAUCGUUGAUGAAUUUUAGUUUUGUCUAUAGUGAAAAAAUAGGGAUUGGCACUUUGGUGAAAUCGGGGGCCAAAUCUCCUCAUUCCAAUUACUGCUGAGUUGGUGCGGAAAGUUUGGUAUCUUCUUCCUCGCGAAAACCCUAAACCCUUCUUUCUCUCUUAGCUCUUCCCCAUGGCGUCGUCCUCUUAUCUUCCUUUGGUUUCUGGUAAUUCCAUCUAAUACUCUGGGCGCUUUGAUUUUUAUGCUUUUGUUGAUUCUGUUUGAGUGCUUGAAGGGAUUUUAGGAUAUUUGUACAGUUGGGUUAGUUCUUGUAUCACUGGUUGUGUUAAUGCUGACUUGUUUUGUAUGGGAAAAUGGUUUUCAUGGAAUAUUCUCUAAUGCUACUAGGUUGGGGUUGAAUUACGUCUACUCGUAAUAGCCGAACUGACAUUAAAAUGAGUUCGAACUAUAUAUCUCAUUUGUCUCGUAUGUGUAUGUGUGUGUGUAUAUAUAUGUUUAUAUGUGCAUAUGUAUCUGUAUAUAUGUAUAUGUGUAUAUAUAGAUGUAUGUAUGUCUAUGUAUGUGUAGAUAUCUAUGUAUAUGUAUGUGUAUAUAUAUGCAUAUCUACGAGUAUAUGUAUAUCUAUGUGUAUUUAUAUGUAUAUUGAGGAACUUCACCAUGAUCCUAAUAUUUAGCAGACAAAAUGGCAAGCGGAGAGUUCUAACGGGAAAUGAAAAGACACUGUGCAUAAAAUUUGUUUCUUUAUUUGGAAUUCCAUCAAUAUCUUUUUCAACAGUAAUUUGUUGAAGAAGAGAAGCACAGCUCCAAUGGAGGCAACGCCAAACGAAAGCGAAGACAAGGGAAUCGGAUCCUCAAUUUCAUUAUACUCCUUUCAUUUAUGGAACCAAAUUGUAUCAUUUUUGCCAUCUCGUCAUGAUUCCAAUUUUCUUUGGAAGCUUUCGAGUCUCCUUCGUCGAAAGAGACGCAAGACUGGUCUUCCUCUUCCUCUACCUUUGAACUCGAUAAACUCUUCUGUGUAAGUCGCUUUAGUUCUACACUUUUUAUUUAUUUUCCUUUAUCUUUUGUUCCAUUUUAUUCUACAUAGCAUAUUUAUUUUUCUGGAAGUCUAUAUUUGUCUCGUAGUUUACAGUCUACACAACUGCAACUAUUUUAGUGGCAGAAGUUAUCGUCUGGUUGUGCCGUGUGAAAUGGAUAUGGAGAUAUCCUUAAUUUGAAGUUUCAUAAAAGGCUGAGGCUAUGAUGUUGUAUGAAAUGGAAUGAAAUUCACAAUGCCACCACAACUAGAUAUGAAUUCCCCCCCCCCCCCCCCACACAUCGCGUAGUAUUGUCCGAUCAUUGUAGUCCUCUCACCGAUCAUGAGUCUUUGGAGAUAGCGAGUCUUAUUUCCAUUAUUUUCAAUAAGAGGAUUUUUGUUGGGAGAACGGAGAAGGGAUGUUUGUUUUUGGAUUCCUAAUCCGUCCAAACGUUUCUCAUAUCACUAUUUUCUAUUUGUUUUUGUUCCCUUUCUCCCAUUUAAGAAAACUCAAAAUUUUCUCUUUAUGGAAGGUGAAAGUUCCUAAGAAAGUGAAAUUAUUUGUUUGCCAGUCUUACAUGGAAGAGUGAACACUCGAGAUCAUUUGCAACGACAUUCUUCCUUCGCUCUAUGUUUGCAUUGGUGUGGGGGAGUGUCAUGAAAGAGAAGCAUGGCCUGUGAGUUGGUGGGGCAUGGCUCCCAUCUGCUUAGUUGGGAGUUGGUAGGGCAUCUUGUGAGUUAGGGAGGGUUAGGGAUUGGUAACAUUAGAAUCCAGAACAAACCUUUGUUGGCAAAGUGGCUUUGGAGUUUCUAUCUGGAAUCCGAUUCUCUUUGGCAUAAGAUUGUUGUGAGCAAGCAUGGCUCUCAUCCUUUUGAAUGGAUGGCUUUUGGGGUUAAAGACACUUUUUUAAAUCCUUGGAAGGAUCUCUUUCGAGCUCCCUUCUUUUUUUGAGUUUUCUAGUUGUUUUGUGGGGGAUGGUAAGGACACUUAUUUUUGGGAGGAUCAGUGGGUAGGGGAGAACUUCCUAUGUUCGAUUUUUUUGCAUCUGUAUCAUUUAUCCUCUUCCAAAAAUUGCACUACCUCGAAUCUUUUGGUGAGAUAUGAGAAUUCCAUGUCUUUCUCUUUUGGAUUCCGUCGUAAUUUGACCAAUAAGGAGAUGACGGAGGUGGCUUCUCUUUUAUCCUUACUUGAGGGAUGCUCUUUUAGAGAGGGGAGAAGGGAUAUUCGUGUUUGGAAUCUUAAUCUUAGUCGAGGUUUCUCUUGUAAGUCUAUGUUAAGUCUGUUGUUGGAUCCCGCACUCCCUAAAGAGUUGGUUUUUGAUGUGGUGUGGAGGACUAAGGUGCCUAAGAAAGUUAGGUCUUUAUCUGGCACGUCUUUCUUGGUUGGGUUAAUAUCGUUGAUAGGAGAAGAAUUUUGCUUGUUGUGCCUUUUUGUUGCAUGUUGUGUUGGAAGGCGGAGGAUGAUCUUGUUCAUCUUUUUUGGGAUUGCCAGUUUGCAAGGGCCAUGUGGAGCUCCUUCCUUAAGGUGUUCGGUGUUAGCUUUGCUGGUUUACGUAGCAUCAAAGUGAUGAUUGAGGAGUUCCUCCUCCAUCUACCUUUAAGAGAUAAAUGGUUGUUUUUAAUGGCUUGUCGGGGUGUGCAUGGUUAUUUGAGACAUUUGGGGUGAGAGGAACGAUAGGGUGUUCCGGGGGAGAUGGAGAGGGAUCUUAGUGAGAUUUGGUCCUUAAUUAGAUUCCAUGUGUCUUUUUGGACUUCGAUUUCGAAGAACUUUUGUAACUUCUCCAUAGAUAAUAUUUUACUUAGUUGGUCCCCCAUUUUAUAAGUGGGGUGGCUUGGUGGGAUGUUUUUUUUGUAUGCCCUUGUAUUUUUUUCAUUUUUUUCUCAAUGAAAGCUGUGUGAUUUCAUAAAAAAAAAUGUCUGCAUUGGUGUGCCCUGUGUCAUUGGAAGGAAGAGGAUCUUGAUUCUUGACCACCUUCAUAUGGGAUUUCUAUUGCCAGUUUGCUUAUUCUCCUGUGAAGUCAUUCGUUUCGGAUGUUUAUGGGAAGUGUGGAUGGAGAAGAAUAGUCGCUUUUGUUGACCAGUCUUUUUAUAAUUAUCAGCCUGGUGUUAUUCUUUUAGCUUGGAGUCCUUUCUUGUUUAGCAAUGGACUUCUUUUGUAGACUUGUCUUUGUAUGCCCUUGUAAAUAUUUCAUAUCUCCUAAAUGAAAGCUCCUUUUCUUCUUAAAAAAAUAAAAGUCAACCACAAUGUCAAUGACACAAGUUCCUAUUGAGGAACCACAUGAUUUCUAGAAUUUACAGAGCGUGGUGUUUGUAUAUUUUUUUUUUUGCAUAAAUUUUAUCACCGGUCUCUUAUCUAUGACUUGCUUUGAGCACUGUGAACAUUUUUAUGCUUGCCCUUUGCACUCUCUACUACAUGGGUGAAUUAUUUUGAACAAAACAACUUGGGAGCUUGGUUUGUCUGGGUCUUCUUAUGCCAAAUCUUAAUUGGUUGUUGGAUGCUCUUAAUUCUUCUCAAGUUGCACACUCAGGCCAUCUGGCCAUUGAAGACGAUCAAUGAGGUUUGCCUCUGUAAUUGUUUGCUAGUUAUUGUGGAAGUGAAUACCAAGGAGUGUACACAAAUUAGAUACAAAUAUUGUGAGUUUGUUCAUUUUAUGGCAUUUCGACUGUGCCCUUCAGGCCUUCACAAAGCAUUGUUCGGUGACUACCCUGUUUUUGUUCAGCAGCUUGAUUGGCAGGUUCUGUUUGCAAUGGGUUUCCUUCGUGGGGUUUCAAAACCCCUUUCACUAGGUUGUUUUAUUUAUUUAUUCAAUUUGAUAUGAACAUACGAUUUCUCAUAAGAAAAAAAGUAGAUACAGGUGUUAAUGGUCCCCCCUCCCUCCCCCAAUGCUAUUAGCUUAACGCUCAAUGAAAGGUUACUUUUUAUUUGCCAGAAGGCAAGUAGGAUCAUUCGUAAAUCUGGCCCGCUUUAUUUAUAACCUGAUUUUCAAAUGUUUGGUAUUGCUUGAGCUUUUCUUUCAAGUCAUAAUGCCAGUUACCCGAAACCCAUCUUAGUAGUAACAUUUGGUAAAUUUUUAUGAUAUUCAGAUUGUAUGCUUAUCUGAUCCGUUCAUGGAAACUGUGAACAGUUUAACAGUAACUGGCUGGGAACCAGCAGAGGCUUCUAGACUGUACGAUGUUCUGGGAAAUCUCUUAGAGCACUGUUUCUCAAAUUUACAUAGCAUUUGGAAGAACCUGCAAUUCUGGCAAUCUCGUGCGGAGGCAAGUCUUUUUGUUCCCUUGUGUUUUUAACCAAUCUAUUUUAUGCAUAUAUCAAAGAUGCGUGGAAGAAAAUAUAGGUCCAAUAUAACUGUUUUUGUGUCUUCAAAAGAGCUGCUAUCCAGCGACAUCCUUCUUUCAAAAUGCAAAAUUAGAUUAUCUCAACGUUACAACCAAGAUUAGACUGAUCAGUCAUACUCCAGUUGUUCCUUUAAGUUUCUAUCUUCUUCCACAAACAUCCAAUGAGUGUAGAUGGGCUUUAGUUUACCCAAAGUACCAAAAAAUUGUUAAAACUGAGAACAACGUGCCCCCCCCCAAGAGUAGUCAGGAACAAUGAUGAAAGCUUCCCCUCUUUUUCCACACACUUUCAUGGAGACAAAUAAUAGAGGUAUCUUUUCCUGCAACAUAUGUUCAGUAACAAUCUUUUUCUGAGCGAUGCUCAAGGGGUUAAAUUGAUUGAAAUCUAAGUAAUGAAUUUUUAUAAGAAAUCUAAAUCAAUUUUUUGUAAUCUAAAGUAAAGAACAUGAAGAAGGAACUACAAGGAAAAUUCCUUUUGUUGAAAGUCCUUCCUUCAUGAUUUGAUGAAAGGGGCCUGCCAUCCUCUUCAGUUCACUGUGCUCACUGACUUUUUAAUGCAAAGCAUAUGAUUGAAUGAAAGGUUGUGUGUGCUUAUGUCAUUAUUUUGAUGAAAAUUUCAGGGUACAAAUGCUCAAAAGGUUUACUUUUUGAUUUGUGAGAGAGGUCCAAGGGCGUUUUUCAGUGGAACAGUGCAGUUAAUGCGCCAAAGUCUUAGGGAUGGUUUUUCCUUGCAACAUGUAGCUCGUGAGGCAUCUCUUUACAUAGCUCACCGGAUAAGUAUAUUGAGCAACCUAAGAUGUCAUCUUGCAGUUUUUGUGGCUCAGGUUUGGUUGCCCUUUUCAAUACUUACUUUUUCAAACGCAAUCUCAUCAUUUUUGUGGUUCUAUUCUAUCCUUGAAAAGACAGUUGGCUCACUCAUACACUUAAUGAGGUUUUUCAUAUUUUCAUUUGGCAAGUGUUUCAUAUAAAAACUUGUUGAUCGCUUUAGAACAUCUCUCCCUGUCUUUUGCCUUUCCCUCCUGCGGUAUAAUAACAGUUUAACUGCUUCACAUUUGAAUUUUAGCUCUCUCUCAAUUUCUUGUUGGGUUAUUUUGACUUUGUUCUUUUAUGGUUCUUGUAGGUCUUUAUGGAAAUUGACAAAAUAGGGGCAGAGGCAGUGGAUGGUCAAGAAAAUUCCUUACCUUCAUUGUUGGUUACAUUGAAUGGCUUAUUUCUCGAUCUAGAGGCAUCCAUUUGUCAACUGCAUGCAACACCUCAUGUAACUUGACAUUAUUUGUUAACUUUAUUGUGAAAAAUGCUGAAGCAGAAAUUAUUAUAAUUUCACAUUUCAGUUCCCAAUAUUUACUUUGUAAUUGACUGUGCAGAUGGAUUUUAUUGAUGACAGCGUUUCAUUUCCUCUAUUUGAAAAAGUACCAGAUGUGAACAAGGAGGGAUCUCAGUGGACAAGUUGUGAAAUUGGUGAUGCUAUCAACUUGCUUUAUCAGAACCUUCAUAAGUUGGACUCUUUCAUCUCCAAUCUUGUAAGAUCUCAUUUUAGAGCUCCUAUUAUUACUAAUUUAAUUUCACAACCUGAAAAAUUUUGUAGUCAAGAAGAAUACUUCCAAUUUGAUUUUCAAGAUCUGUGGCCACGAAUUCUCAGAUCAAAGGGAAUAUAUUGCUACUACUAUUCAUAACCGUUUGAUGAUUUACAACUCACCUUUAAGCCUGCACUAUAUAAGCACAUUUAUCAUUUUGCUGGAAAUAUAGCUCAUUUAAUGUUGUCAUGAUUCUGUCCAUUAUGGUGACAGCUUGAUAAAUUGAGAUUAAGAAAUAGUAUUAUCACCUACAACGUAAAAUUCUUUGCACUGAGUUUAUUUAUUUAUAUAUUUUUAUUUUAAUAAUGUUAUUAUUUUUUAAAAGGAAACCGAUCUCUUCAUUGAAGUAGCAAAAUGACAAUAAUGCUUAAGGUACAAAAAAACGGUACAAAAAGCGAGGGAGAAAUUUUCACUAAACCCUCGUUUCUUGAAUCAAGACCACAAGAAAUGAGGGUUUCAUACCAACAAGAUUCAACGAGCUCUCUUUGGUGCUUUUGAGGACGAGAGUCUAUAGGAACUCUCCUCUCUCCUCUCCCCACCCCGUCCUUCCACCUGUGAACAAUUUCCUCUGGUGACUUUCCUUCUUGGGUUUCUAUCCGUUUGCCGGUUCCAUUAGUUACUUCAAUACACUCAGCUGCCUCCCCAGUGGUUCGCUCAUCCCACAUAAUAGUCACUAGCUAUGGAGGUGGUCAGUUGCAAGGUGAACGGUCAGUUAUGAAUUUUGUUUGAUUCGGGUGGUUUUUCGUUGAAGAUGUGGAAGUUAACAAGAUUCUUUCAUUAGCUGAGUCUCACCUUCACUCGUUUGUGGAUCGAAUAUCAGCAUUACUUUAGGGGCCAAGUAAUCGUUUUUCGUCAGGAAUGGUCAUGAGAAAGCUAGGGUGAUAAGGCACUGUUGAGUCAAAUUUUCACCUCAUUUAUUACUACCAGUUUAGUGGAAACUUGACUGAACAGUGCCCACUCCUCUGAAGUGAAAAAGCUUAUCAAUCAAUUUGAUGAAAAGUCUUGUCUCCUUUUAGGAAAAACAGUCCCCACACCUCUGUAUAUGGAUCGUAAUCACUAAAGAUUAUUUGGGAGAAUCAAUAUAUUGUAUUCCAAUCAUUUCGGAAUUCAUAUGCUAUAGACACAUGUACAAGGAUUAUCUAAGGUAAGUAGUGGAAGCUAAUGAAGGGCAUAGUGUAAAUCACCCCUGAAUUUCUGGUAAAUUUACCUUUUAGUCAUACUACAACACUCUUCACUUUUGGGCUUGAAAUUGACAUGAGGCGAUGAGGGUCAGAACGUGGUUAUGAAUAUUAAUUGGCAGGAGAUGACCUUCAAGAUAGUUGUCUGAAUAUAUGGACUCUUGUGCCAUUUUAAAUCAUUAACCAAUCUAAACAAAGUUAAGCUGAUGGGUGACAUUAAACAUAAUUUUAUUCAUAGUUCAACACAAAAUACCAAUACAAAUACUAUUAUGCCCUCCUCAGGUCAGUAUUGAAAACGAAGUUACGGAGCACCAUGAGUUACUCCCUACAGUGAUGUGUUUAUUUUUUAUAGUUUAUGAAUACUCACUAAGAAGUGUUCAUUUAUGUGUGUCUUC
Molecule: long non-coding RNA, 20346 nt
Filed under: Cucumis sativus (cucumber)
Lineage: Eukaryota; Viridiplantae; Streptophyta; Magnoliopsida; Cucurbitales; Cucurbitaceae
Description: long non-coding RNA (CSAT_LNC002449)
Source: RNAcentral